RNAcentral lists this long non-coding RNA (719 nucleotides) under Nicotiana benthamiana. Its description in RNAcentral is "long non-coding RNA (NBEN_LNC019153)". Lineage: Eukaryota; Viridiplantae; Streptophyta; Magnoliopsida; Solanales; Solanaceae. The record is from RNAcentral.
AAAAUAUCACUGUUCUAUUGGUGUUUGCAUUUCAAUUUCAAGUUUAAUUAUUAGCUAGGCUUCUCUUAGUUCAUGGUUUGUCAGUUGAAAUUCAGAAACUAUUCCAUUGGUGUUUGUUUCUGAUUGUUGUGGUUUUCUGGGUUGUAUUUCAAGUUAAAUUGGUGUUCGAGCUAUGUGUGUGGGCGAUUUCUAUUUUUAUACUGGGUUUCAAAGUUAUUUCUGGACUGCUUGAGUUAAAUCUGGAGUUACUGUUGAUUUCUGCUCUUCACUGCUAUUUGAAUUGCUGAGUAUCAGUUUAAUUACUUGCUGCUGAUCUCUUCUAUUCCUUUUCUGUCCUGUUUCCAGGUAUUCAUCUCCCCCUUGAGUAAUGUAUGGUUGUCAAAUUGAUUGAAGCUUAAUUGAAAGAUAAUUCGAAGUGCGAAUGUUUAUUACUUCUUUAGUUCCCAUAUUUUGUAUUCACUUUGAAUGGUUAAGUCAUGUUAGUAUUGAAAUUUGAAUAAGCAAAACUUGUUUAAAUUGGUGUAAUGUGGACUGUAGUUAGUACUUUAACAUUACUUGGAUUGUCACUUUGGAUUUUCAGCUUGUAGUAGUUGUUGAGAUAUGUAAUCGUAUAAUUGCAUCAUUUGAGCUAGAAGGUUGUACUAUUAUAGCACAUGAUCUGAAAUAAUGGGACUGAUGCAUAACAAUAUUGAUGAGUUGAUUCGAGUGUAUUUUAGAUU